UACGAAGGGGGCUAGCGUUGUUCGGAAUCACUGGGCGUAAAGCGCACGUAGGCGGAUCUUUAAGUCAGGGGUGAAAUCCCGAGGCUCAACCUCGGAACUGCCUUUGAUACUGGGGAUCUCGAGUCCGGGAGAGGUGGGUGGAACUGCGAGUGUAGAGGUGAAAUUCGUAGAUAUUCGCAAGAACACCAGUGGCGAAGGCGGCUCACUGGCCCGGAACUGACGCUGAGGUGCGAAAGCGUGGGGAGCAAACAGG
This 253-nucleotide ribosomal RNA is filed under the name uncultured bacterium. RNAcentral's name for it is "partial 16S ribosomal RNA". It matches the Rfam family "Bacterial small subunit ribosomal RNA", at positions 524 to 776 of the family's 1533-position model. The record is from RNAcentral.